GGAAGAAUCUCCGCGGCUUCUCGAGUCUUCCAUAGAUCAACUGCUUUCGAAAGACGGUCUUUUUUAAUUCUCCUCCUCUUCUUCUUUGUCCUCACAAAGCGCCAAUCUUCCAUCUCCAAUUCAAAGCAUCGUCACUGCUUCCUCUGUCGCUGGAAAUCUGCUUGCUGCAUAAUCGAUCCUUAAUGAGUCAUAUCCUUUGCUGAUCACGAACGCGGAAACCAGAGAGAGCGAGAUCGGGAAAGAGCUCAAGCUAGGGCUGGACAUAAGUCCAAGAACCCUAAAGACGACGGAUUGACUCCUGAACAACGCCGUGAAAGGGAUGCAAAAGCUUUACAAGAGAAAGCCGCGAGGAAGGCUGCUCAGGCGGCUGCAGGAGGCAAUAAUGCCGGAGGCCAAGUAGGUAGAAAAAACAAGAAAUGAUUGGUAUUGUUAGAGGUGGUGUAAAUUAGGUGUAUGAGAUUGUUUGCCUGGAUCCAUCUUAUCAGAUUUGGUUUUGUGGGUAUUGGAAGUUGAAGUUGUAUUGAGCAUUUAACAAACAAUUGCAUUGAUGUUGGCUUCUGAACCUCUGAUUUUAUUUCUGAUUUGGAAUGGAAUUUCUAUGUGUAUUUGCAUAGUAUUCUUCAUUUAAUACAAUUUAAGCAUUAGCAUUGCAUUUGA
Molecule: non-coding RNA, 657 nt
Organism: Jatropha curcas
Lineage: Eukaryota; Viridiplantae; Streptophyta; Magnoliopsida; Malpighiales; Euphorbiaceae
Source: RefSeq, a predicted model, not a curated record